RNAcentral lists this unclassified non-coding RNA (258 nucleotides) under uncultured fungus. Its description in RNAcentral is "sequence contains ITS2". The record is from RNAcentral. Lineage: Eukaryota; Fungi.
AACGCACAUUGCGCCCUCUGGUAUUCCGGGGGGCAUGCUUGUUCGAGCGUCAUUACACCUCUCAGGCAUUCUUUUGCUUGGUAUUGGGUGCUGGGUCCCCUGAGGACUCACCUGAAAAGCAGCGGCGAUGCGGCCGGACUUUGAGCGUAUUAAUUUAUAACCCGCUACAAAAGUUUCCGGAACGUCUGUUUGCCGGACAACCCACCUAAAUUUUCUAUGGUUGACCUCGGAUCAAGUAGGAAUACCCGCUGAACUUAA